Small nucleolar RNA from Rattus norvegicus (Norway rat), 89 nucleotides. The record is from Ensembl. Lineage: Eukaryota; Metazoa; Chordata; Mammalia; Rodentia; Muridae.
UCUCUCCCAUGAUGUCUAGUACUGGUUCCAGUCAUCCUUGAGGACACGUGUUUCCUAGAACCUUUGACACCUGAGAAUCUGAAGGGUUC